GAAUACUAGUGUUAAGAGAAGAAGAAGCACUAGUGUGAGAUGUAGCAGCAUAGCUACAUGGGGAAGAAGAUGACGAUAAAAUUAGGGAUUUCGAAAUUGAAUUGGGGAUUUUGUUGUUUCAUUUUAAAUAAAACGACGUCGUUUUCGCUAUUAACAGAAAUAAUUAACGUCUGCUAACGGCGGUUAUCGGAUCCAUUAAUGCCAGUUAACGUCUCGGGGAUUUUGGCCUGGUCAACAUUUUGAUUUGUGUUAAAUGGCGGUCAACGUUUUUAUCAUGUUUUAUUUGGCCGAUCGCAAAGUUUACGUAUUGAAUGACCACUUUUUGAAAGUUCACGUAUAAAACGACAUUUUUCCCAUUUUUAUUUGUAUUUGUUACUGUAUAUUGGU
RNAcentral lists this small RNA (387 nucleotides) under Arabidopsis thaliana (thale cress). RNAcentral's name for it is "ATSL136050". The record is from RNAcentral. Lineage: Eukaryota; Viridiplantae; Streptophyta; Magnoliopsida; Brassicales; Brassicaceae.